Patella vulgata (common limpet) is the source of this 6272-nucleotide RNA transcript. It is a transcript of the gene named coiled-coil and C2 domain-containing protein 2A, with no coding region annotated. NCBI's taxonomy places the organism in Eukaryota, Metazoa, Mollusca, Gastropoda, Patellidae. The transcript is spliced from 44 exons. The record is from RefSeq and is a predicted model, not a curated record.
AAAAUACCUCCACACCGCCGAAUAUGACAAGUCGUUUCACGUUGUUUUUCUUGUAAAUUUAUUGUUUUAUAUGAAAAUGAUCGUGUAAAAGACUUGACACAUAUACACAGAAUAAAAUGGAUGGUAAAAGGAAACGACGGUCAAAGAAGCAGCCAUUGUUGGAAAAUGAAGAGGGUACUGAAGAUGGUUCCUCUAACCCAGCCAUGGAUUCGGAUACAGAAACUGCUUACCAGGCUCUGUCACAUACCGAUGGGGAAUCUUCAGCUGCAGAGAUACUAGAAGCUGGGCAAGCAGAAACAUUAAAGAAAGAAUUAAAGACAAAACAUCGAAGGAAAUUAAAAGAGUUGUCACAACUCAGAAGUCCACAAGAUGAUUUGGCAGGUGAAAUGAAAACCGUGAAGAAACGCAGUAGACAGAAAUUAGAUGAAACUGCUCAAGAAGAAAUGGAAGCUCAGAGAGCAGCUCUGGCAGCAUCCACAGAAGAUGGAACAGUACCUAUGCCAGAGGAGGAGACAAUGGUGGAUGAAACUAUCACCACCACAACUAGAAUUGAAGAAGAAUUAAAAAUAAUUUCAGAAACAGUAGAUGAAACGGUAUUAGAUAAAACAUCAACAACUAUAGAUAGUCAAGCUGAUACAAUGGAAGAAGCUAAAACUACAGGUAGAAGUUUACGUGGUGCCUCUGUUAGAGAAAGACUACGGAGUCGUGUUCAGAAAGCUAAGGAAAAAGCGGACAAUGAAAUUCUUGAGGAAGAAAGAGAAGAAAGAAAAAGGCUAAGAGAUGAAAGAAGUAAAAAGUCAACAAGAUUUGAUAAAGAUUAUAAUGAGGAAGAAAUGGAAAGAAUUUUGGAAGAAAAAUCAAAACUUCUGAAAUCCAGACGUCAAAAAAUGGAAGACAAAGGAGAAAAGGGUGACCGUCUGCCCACAGAAGAGGAAGCUUAUGAUUUCUUCACAAGAAAUUGGGAUCCAGAACCAGAGGUCACUGAAGAACAAUUAAAAGAAGAAGUAAAAAAAAAGCAAAAGAAGGAAGAACCUAAAGAAGGAACCAGUAAAGAAGGGGGAGAAGAAGAAAGAGCAGAAGGCGAGGAAGAGAAAAAAGAAGGAGAAGGGGAUGAAGAAGAUAAAGAUAAAGAAGAAGAGCAGGAGGAAGAAAAGGAGCAAGAUGAGAGUAAACCUGAAGAUGAACAACCACUGUUAGAUGAAUUUCCACAUGAUGAAGAAGGAAUUGGUCCAAUAGCAUUCCGUAAAUCUGAAUAUAUAUCAAAGAAAAAGAAAGAGGAUUCUGAUAAUCAACUGUUGUUUAUUCCAUCUGUUAUUUCUAUGCCAGCUAGUGAAAAGGUAGAUGAAGAAAAGAUGCCAAGAUAUUUAGAAGAAGAAGGAUUUUAUGUUGGUGUUCGUCCAGUGGUUGCCAAUAGAAACUUAAAUAGAAUGGAAAAUCGUCUGCUUCAUGAACCAGAUAAGGGUCGAAAAUGGUUUGGAGAAGAUGGUCGUUUGAUAGCAUUACCAGAUCCGUUAAAGAAACAUCCUUCUCGACCUGCAAUGACUGAUGAACCAGAACCUUAUUUGGAAACAGUUUUUAGAAAGGCUAUUAUGAGAGAUUUUGAUUGUCGAUAUAUAGAUGGUGCUGUGGAUGGUUAUGGUCGUUAUCAACUAGAUGUGGAUAUCAACUCUAUUGUCUUCUCCCAUCACCAUCUGUUUAGUAGAGAACAUGUUUUAGCUACACGACUUUCAGAUCUUUAUCAGGAAUAUGGUGCUAGAAAGAAGAAAAAUAUGACUGAAUUUUUAUCAGAAAAGGUCAAAGCAUUAAAGAACUCGGCAAUUCAUUUACAUGAAUAUAUUUUAAACCAUAAAGGGGAAAUGGCAGUUGUUGAUAGAGCUAAUUAUGAAAAACGUUUAAAAGAUUAUAAAUAUGAUAUCAGACAAACUAGAUUAGUGAGAGAUAAAGAAGAAGAAACGGAUCGUCUUUUGAUAAAAAAUAUUAUUCAUACAUGGAAAGAAUUAAAAAGUUUACGGGAGUUCCAGAAUUAUAAUAACACACCAAUCAAAUUACAAGUUAUCAAAGAAGAAACAAAUAAAGCUGAAGAUCAAAAACAUUGGAAAGAAGAAAUAGAAGAAGAAUUAAUGGAAAUUCAAGAAGAAUAUGAAGAAGAAUUUCAGAAAAAAAUGGCAAUCUAUAAGGAAGAGUUAGAAAUGUAUGAAAAACAGCAAGCAGCAAAGAAAGAUGCCUCUAAGAGAAAUAAAAAGAGGAGAAAAAAUAAAAAACAUACUGAAGCGGAAGAUCGAGAUGAGCAGAUAGAGCAAAUGUCGCCAGAAGAUAGAGAAUUAUUAAAUGAGGAAGAUUUACCACAACCAGUAUUACCAGAGAAAUUUGAUAGUAAACUAACGAGGGAUAAAAUCAAAGCUAAAGCUAUGGCAAUACGAAGAAGACCUGGUGAACCAAAGUUAAUACCUGAACUUACCAGUACAGCAACUGUUACCCCAACUAAACAAUGUCCAAGAGGAGAACAGAGUAGAAGAGAUGAUGUUUCUAAAACCAAUGUUUUUGUUAAAAUUCUAUUCAAUAAUAAAGAAGUCUCAAGAACACCUGCCAAGCCUCUUUCACAAGAUUUUCGAGUAACUUUUGGUCAAAUCUAUAACCUAAAGAUUGUUCAGUGGCCAGAAUCUGUUAAAUUCCAGAUAUUUGAAACACGAGGGUUAGGGAGUGAUUUAUUAGCAGAUUUAUAUGCUGGUAUACCUGAUCCAUCUGUAACAUCACAAAGUGUACAACUAGAAGAAAUGGAUUUUAGUACAGAUCUAAAGAUAGAUAUUACACAUGAAGGUGUUGGUAGUGGUAUACCAUUUACAUUUGAUAUACAUGGUACUAAUACUAUGAUAUUGAUGACAACCGGUAUAAUGUGUAGUAGUGUAGCUUGGUCUGUUGGAGAAGAUGGCACCCCUCUUGUACCACCAAUGUCUGGUUAUUCUACUAACAAUAUAUAUAAUGCUAUGAAAAUGAUGGAUCCUGUAGCUGCUAUAGGAGCAACAGGUGUUGUUAAUAUAGAACGUUUGGCUAAAUGGUUCCAAGAAUCUCGUCUAGAUCCUAAUGAUCCUAAUAAUGCUGAUUUAGUUUAUAUGUUAGGGUCACGAAGUUCCAGCAGUAUGCAGUCAAGAGAUUUUUUUCGUUUAGAACAACUACAGCAGGAGUUUGAUUUUACUACAGAACAUGAGUUAAAUCAAAACAGACGGUUUAAAUUAUUAUCACUCAGAGACAAUGAGGUACCAGAGUUUAAAAAUUCAAAAAUGGUUCCAGUUUAUGAAAGAGAAUUACCAAGAGAUAUAUUUAUGGAAUAUGAACGUAAACAGAGAGAAGAAGACAGAAUAAAACAUACAGAAGAUAUAGAAUCACAUAGGGCAGCAGUUAAUAGAUUUAUGCAACGGGUAAGAGAAGAAGUAAUGAGGAGAUUCCGUAUGGCAGCUCAUCAGAAAAGAUUAGAGGAUGUAGUUAUAGAAGAAGUUGUACCAAACAUUGGCAUUGUGUUUACAAGAUUACUACAGUUUGGUGAACCAAGACGACCUUUAAAACCUGUAAGAAAAGAGAGAAAGAGGGUCACUGCGGCAGCAGUUAGAGGGGAAGAAGUCAAAAUUCUACUCAAUAUUAUCCGAGCUUCAUGUAUACCAAUACGCAAAUCAGCAGCUGGACCAAGUAAAGAAGAUGGUGCUGCAACUCGGGAUCAUGAUAUGAAGAUUAUUGGUAAUGUUACACUUGUAAGACCAUAUAUUGAAGUAAUGUUCCAGAGAAACACAGUUAGAACAAGUGUUGGGGAUGGACCAAAUCCUAGUUUUAAUGAAGAAUUAGAAUUACCUCUCAAGGCUCCUAAUGGUGAUUUCUCAUCUAAUAAUCUACAGUCUAUGAGUGAUUUUGUAUAUAUCAAUUUAUUUGAUGAAAUGGUUGUAGAUGUUCAGGAGGAUGAUAGAGAUAGAAGUACUAAUAUUCAUCAGAGAUUAGAAAAGAAAUGGCUGGGUAAUUUAAAAAUACCUUUCUCUACUAUUUAUCUCAAUACAAAGAUUGUAGGAACAUUCCGUUUAAACACACCACCAGUUAUGUUAGGAUAUACUUAUGAAGAUUCUGUACGACGUAGUGAUAUGGAGAAUGUUACUAAGAUGGAACACAGUACAUAUAUCAGUAUGUUUUUAACCAUAGAACCACAGUUACUGACACCAGAACCAGUUAGAGAAAGGUUCUCUACCAAUGAGGAUGAGAAACUGUUAGCUCAUUCAGAGAAAUGGCAGGAUGAAUUAGAGAAACGAUUUCCUAAACGUAUUUAUAAAUAUAGUGUGGUAGAUGUUAAUGGUAAAAAUAUGUUUAUAACAAGAUAUUUUAAAGCAUUAAAUAUACCUGAUGAUAUCAAGGCUAUGAAUUUAUCUACAGAUGCAACAGCUGAACGUGUUGCUCAUUAUGUUUCUAUGAUUCCAUUUGUCUCUGACUCUGCUGUCUUUCAUGGUUUAUGUGAUAUAUGGAGUACAUGUGAUCAAUUUUUAAGAAUGUUAGCAGGUGAUGAAGAAGAACAUGCAGUACUUUUGAUGAAUUAUUUCUUGGAACUAGGGAAAAAAGCAUAUCUUUUAAUAGGAUCAGCUGUACCAGAAGGUCCUACAGCCUAUGUAUUAACAGAAGAGGGUACUCAAAUGUGGUUAUGGAAUGCUUCCACUGGUGAACAUUUUAAUGUACAGGAUAGUUUCUGUCCAGUACAAGUUGUAGGCUGUGUUAUGAAUCAGAAUAAUAUUUGGGCCAAUAUACAGCCAUAUGAAAAACCAGUUCAAAUAGAUUUCCGAUUUAACAAUACAUCUUGUUGGAGGCCAAUAUUUGAACGUUCUUUUGCUAAUCCAGUGUUAGGUGCUAUACAGCCGGAGAGACUUCACUAUAUAGACACUGAUAAAAAACAUGCUGAAGAUUUACAAGAAAAAAUUGAGCAACUGUUGAAAAAUAAAAUAAUGGACUGGAGAAGUAGAACAUUGACUAGAUGGAACAGACAUUGUACUAAAAUGAUGAGAAAACUUCUACCUAAAUUAGAAGAAAGUGCUGGACAAGAAAUAAAUGAACAACAUCUGACAGAAUUAGAACAUUCAUUUGCAGCUUACAAAGUAUCUGGUUUUCCUAUGAAUAUGCCAUUUGUAGAUUUAGACAGAAUAGUAGAGAGUGUAUAUUCUACUGGUGUACAUACACAAGAAUCAGCAGAAGAGUUUGCACUAGCUGUUUAUAUACAUCCUUAUUGUAACUCAGUACUAUCAGUCUGGGUUUAUGUAGCAUCAUUAUCUAAAUAAAUUCACAUAUUUUUAGUGCUCUUUAUAUUCAUUUAUCUUGUGUAGUAUUUUAUGGCAUUUUUCUAAUCUAAAUAUCUAAAUUUAAUUUAUCCCUUUGGAACUUUCAAAAACAUCAAAUUUGUAUAACAUGAACAUUGGGUAAGGUUCUAUUAGAACAUUUUUAACAUCAUUAUCAUACAAUAAUCAAAGUGUUUUAAAGUCGAAUAAAAUUUGUUUUCUGCAAAGUUCUAUGCAUUACCUCAAAAAAAUGUGAAAAGUUGAAUAUUAAGUUUGUUCGUGUUAUUACCAUUUAUAGUUUAAUUGUAGUAUGUUUUUCUAUACAAUGUUUUAUAUAUAUUUGGCUAAAUGAAACUUAUCUAAUUCCGCUUUUUAACCUACGAGGGGGGUUGGAUGGCUGAAUGGUUAUCGUGCGCGCUGUAUCAUACAGUCUGUCAUUGAAUUGACUGGCGUGGUUUCGAAUCCCCGGUUGUACGUGGCAAGGAGUAGGGGCGCCUGUCCAGCCUCGUGGCUUUUCUCCCAGUCCUCCGGUUUCCUCCCACUGCUAAAGACCCCUACGCGUAUAUAAAAUUAAACCAUAUGUUAGUCCCGAAAUGACCUAGUUUGUGUCGAGUGGACGUUAAACCCCAUUUCUCUCUCUCUCUCUUUUUAACCUACAAAAUUCCAGACAAAAUUGAAAUGCGAACCUUUGAAAAAUUCCCUCCUUUUUAUACUUUGUGAUACAUUCAGCUAAAUAAAUGGUAACUAAUACUGAGUUUUAACAUUUGAAAUUUUAGACAAAAUCAUCAUUGAGUAAAUCCGUCCAUUUUUUAAGUUUUAGUUCUUAAAUGUAAGUUCAUAGCAUUGUUAUUUAAUUUGUUUAAUUUGAUAUAUCUGUGAUUUUAUAAAUAAUAUUGUUAUACUAUUUUUAACUGUAAAUAGUUGUAGAUUAUGUAUAUUUAUCAGAUUAUUAUUUAUAUAUAAAGAGUUCAAAAAUAA